Long non-coding RNA from Talpa occidentalis (Iberian mole), 446 nucleotides. RefSeq lists it as uncharacterized. The transcript has 4 exons. The record is from RefSeq and is a predicted model, not a curated record. NCBI's taxonomy places the organism in Eukaryota, Metazoa, Chordata, Mammalia, Eulipotyphla, Talpidae.
AGGGCCUGACGGCCAUAAAAGCAGCCAGUAGAGGCCGUUGUCCAAGAAGAGCAGCUUGGGGUGCAGAGAGGGGAGGUCCCCAAACCUCAAAGGCGUGUGGGCGGAAGAUCAAUGCAGUCAGGUCCAGAGGGGUGUGUGCCAGGGGCAGGAGCGAGGCGGUGCUGCUCGGGGUGGACACGGAGCUGUGACGACGCUGAAUCCCUCGUCCAGGCAGCCCGGCCUUGUCAGCUCGCCAUGGCUUCGAGGACGCACAUUCCUCGCCCUCUCUGGCAGCGACCCCCUGGGUCCCGACACAGCCACCCUCAUGUUCACUUGAAGUGAAAAAAGAUGUUUGGUGAAAUAACUGCAGCCUGGAGCCAAACAACUAACACCAUCUUUACUUUUGUUUAUUGUAAUAAAAUGUGUUAAUGAAAAAGUGCAAAGAUAGAUAAUAGAAAUUAAUGUAC